GUGUCAAGUCGAGCGGAUGAGGGGUGCUUGCACUCUGAUUUAGCGGCGGACGGGUGAGUAAUGCCUAGGAAUCUGCCUGGUAGUGGGGGAUAACGUUCCGAAAGGAACGCUAAUACCGCAUACGUCCUACGGGAGAAAGCGGGGGAUCUUCGGACCUCGCGCUAUCAGAUGAGCCUAGGUCGGAUUAGCUAGUUGGUGAGGUAAUGGCUCACCAAGGCGACGAUCCGUAACUGGUCUGAGAGGAUGAUCAGUCACACUGGAACUGAGACACGGUCCAGACUCCUACGGGAGGCAGCAGUGGGGAAUAUUGGACAAUGGGCGAAAGCCUGAUCCAGCCAUGCCGCGUGUGUGAAGAAGGUCUUCGGAUUGUAAAGCACUUUAAGUUGGGAGGAAGGGUAUUCACCUAAUACGUGAGUAUUUUGAUGUUACCGACAGAAUAAGCACCGGCUAACUUCGUGCCAGCAGCCGCGGUAAUACGAAGGGUGCAAGCGUUAAUCGGAAUUACUGGGCGUAAAGCGCGCGUAGGUGGUUCGUUAAGUUGGAUGUGAAAGCCCCGGGCUCAACCUGGGAACUGCAUCCAAAACUGACGAGCUAGAGUACGGUAGAGGGUGGUGGAAUUUCCUGUGUAGCCGGUGAAAUGCGUAAAUAUAGGAAGGAGCACCACUGGCGAAGGCGACCAUCUGGACUGG
Molecule: ribosomal RNA, 689 nt
Filed under: Pseudomonas sp.
Lineage: Bacteria; Pseudomonadati; Pseudomonadota; Gammaproteobacteria; Pseudomonadales; Pseudomonadaceae
Description: bacterial SSU rRNA
Rfam family: Bacterial small subunit ribosomal RNA
Source: RNAcentral